Molecule: ribosomal RNA, 1774 nt
Filed under: uncultured alpha proteobacterium HF0070_34A12
Lineage: Bacteria; Pseudomonadati; Pseudomonadota; Alphaproteobacteria
Description: bacterial LSU rRNA
Rfam family: Bacterial large subunit ribosomal RNA
Source: RNAcentral
CGGUCUGAUCAAGUGUCUCUAAGGGCAUUUGGUGGAUGCCUUGGCGUUGAGAGGCGAUGAAGGACGUGACACGCUGCGAUAAGCCAUGGGGAGCUGCGAGUAAGCUUUGAUCCGUGGAUUUCCGAAUGGGGAAACCCGACCGUAAGGUCACCCGCAAGGGAGCGAACCCGGGGAACUGAAAUAUCUAAGUACCCGGAGGAAAGGACAUCAACCGAGACUCCGUUAGUAGUGACGAGCGAACGCGGACCAGGCCAGUGGCCUGAGAGAAGACAACCAGAAGCGUCUGGAAAGGCGCGCCAUAGUGGGUGAUAGCCCCGUAUGGGUAAUGCUUCUUUCAGGUCCUCGAGUAGGGCGGGACACGUGAAAUCCUGUCUGAACAUGGGGGGACCACCCUCCAAGCCUAAGUACUCCUCAACGACCGAUAGCGAACCAGUACCGUGAGGGAAAGGUGAAAAGCACCCCGAUGAGGGGAGUGAAAUAGACCUGAAACCGAAUGCCUACAAUCAGUCGGAGCCGCCUUGAGCGGUGACGGCGUACCUUUUGUAUAAUGGGUCAGCGAGUUACUUUGACGAGCAAGCCUAAGCCGUUAGGUGUAAGCGAAGCGAAAGCGAGUCUGAAUAGGGCGUAUAGUUCGUUUGAGUAGACCCGAAACCGGGUGAUCUAGCCAUGGGCAGGUUGAAGGUACGGUAACACGUACUGAAGGACCGAACCCACGCAUGUUGAAAAAUGCGGGGAUGACCUGUGGCUAGGGGUGAAAGGCCAAUCAAACCCGGAGAUAGCUGGUUCUCCGCGAAAACUAUUUAGGUAGUGCGUCACGUAUUACCGUCGGGGGUAGAGCACUGGAUGGGCUAGGGGGGCGCGAGCCUUACCAAACCUAACCAAACUCCGAAUACCGAUGAGUACAGCGUGGCAGACAGACUAUGGGUGCUAAGGUCCAUAGUCGAGAGGGAAACAGCCCAGACCUCCAGCUAAGGUCCCCAAGUUAUGGCUAAGUGGGAAAGGAUGUGGGAAGGCCAAGACAGCCAGGAGGUUGGCUUAGAAGCAGCCAUCCUUUAAAGAAAGCGUAACAGCUCACUGGUCUAGACAAGCCGGCCUGCGCCGAAGAUGUAUCGGGGCUAAAGCCAUACACCGAAGCUGAGGACGUGCAUAGCACGUGGUAGCGGAGCGUUCUGUAAGUCUGCGAAGCCCAGCCGCGAGGUUGGGUGGAGAUAUCAGAAGUGAGAAUGCUGACAUGAGUAGCGAUAAAGAGUGUGAGAAACACUCUCGCCGUAAGCCCAAGGGUUCCUGCGCAAGGCUAAUCCGCGCAGGGUGAGUCGGCCCCUAAGACGAGGGCGAAAGCCGUAGUCGAUGGGAAUCAGGUUAAUAUUCCUGAACCCGAUGGUAGUGACGGAUGACGUAAGUUGUACAUGCUUAUCGGAUUGUGUGUGCAGCGAAGUUGUUCCAGGAAAUAGCUCCAUCAUUAGGACCGUACCCCAAACCGACACAGGUGGGCAGGUAGAGCAUACCGAGGCGCUUGAGAGAACGAUGUUGAAGGAACUCGGCAAAUUGCCCCCGUAACUUCGGGAGAAGGGGGACCUCCAUUAAGGCAACUUUUUGGAGGUGGCACAGACCAGGGGGUGGCGACUGUUUAUUAAAAACACAGGGCUCUGCGAAGUAGUUAAUACGACGUAUAGGGUCUGACGCCUGCCCGGUGCCGGAAGGUUAAAAGGAGGUGUGAGAGCUCCGAAUUGAAGCCCCGGUAAACGGCGGCCGUAACUAUAACGGUCCUAAGGUA